RNAcentral lists this long non-coding RNA (2036 nucleotides) under Theobroma cacao (cacao). RNAcentral's name for it is "long non-coding RNA (TCAC_LNC002985)". The record is from RNAcentral. Lineage: Eukaryota; Viridiplantae; Streptophyta; Magnoliopsida; Malvales; Malvaceae.
UAAAACCUUCAUUUAAAAUGAAAUUAUGACUAUUUGAAUAUAAUAAAAAUAUUCAAUAAAAUAUUCUAUUUUCUUAUAAAACAAUAUUUAUAGAGUUAUCGGUAAAUAAUUUUUGUAGCGUAAAAGCUAAAUAAAUUCAUACAUACUGUAAUACAGAUAACCAAAGUAUAAAAUUUAAUUUAUAGUGACACAUGGGCCCACGAACGACCAAAAGUAUCAAAAGCGGUAAACCUACAAUUUUUGAGGAUGCAAGUCCAACUGUAGCCCUCAACAAAGUGAGCUAUCUACCUACUAUCCUGAGCCUGAAAUGGGUGAAAAUGAGGGUGGUGAGAUUAUAUAAUCCCAGUGAGUAAACAAAUAGCAUCUAAAAUAUCUAAAGCUGAGUAAAUGGAGAUAGAUUAAAAUAGAUCAUCAUACUGUAAUUCAUCACCUUUCAACUCAUUUCAACCAAAUAAAAUCAAUUCAUAUAAAUCGAGUAAUCAACAUGGCUAAUGAAUAUCUUAAAACUUUGGCUCGUGCCAAAAUCAUUCUCAUACUCAGUUAUCAGGGAUACCUUGGCCUGAAGCUAUCCCAACUGAGUCCGCCAAGGUUGUUAAAAAGUCAUGUAUGCAUAAAUCAUGUUUUUAUUUUGAAAACAUAGCCGUUCCUUGGCGUUGGCUGAGUUCACCCUCAUGUGGUGGUUCGACGUGAAGUGAACUCUAAAGUUGUACCUCAGGAGUUACCCUACAUGCCUCUCCGACCGAGGUAAGAAUAUAACAGGGUUACCGUGCCCUUCUAAUAGGUUGGUCCAUGGAACCCGCCCACUGCAGCAACCUAAACCCACCAAUUCAAUAAAAUCUCAACCGCAUGACAUGGCGAUUAUAUCACAAUCCAGCCUCUCAAGGCUAAAUACACAGUUUAUAUAUUUCAACACAAAUACCAAUUCAGCCAUUCAUGCAAAUAUUGUCAUAAGCCAUUCGAUUCAAACUAUGAAUUUACAACACAUGAAAACAGUCUCCAAUUACUCUAUUUUCAAACCAUCAUUUCAUUUCAAGACAAUGUUAUAAAAUCAUUUCAUUAAAUCACAUUUUAAUUGCAAAACAUAAAGAUUUACCAUUUAACUCAUUUUUCAUAAAAUCACAAAAUCAGAUAAAAACCACUUUAGAUAAUUAAGAUGAUAGUAAGGUUACUCACUGUAUCAGGAGUUUGAAUUUUGGAGUACUCCGACUAUUGAUCCUCAGGUGAAAUUUUUUUACCCUUUUUUUGGAGGAUUCACCACCUAGACAUAAUGCACAAUAAGCCAUUUACUACAUUUGUGCUAAACCAUUGUAAAACCAAUUCAGGCUUUAUACUAAUGCAUGAAAUGGGAUGUGAAAUACUCGGGUAACUAUCUAAAUACGGUGUUCAAUAUAAAUUCAAUUGUGUACCUAAAUAAAAUGGUAUUGGCCUAAUUCGAUCUAUCACUCAAUUAAUUAGCUAAUAUGUCCAAUCAAACUUCAAAUAAUUCCAUUUCUCUCCCAAUACUUCAAAUCACCAAACACAAGUCAAAUAACAUAAAAUUUAGCAAAACCAUCCUCACAUUUCUUCUUGAGAAUUUCGGCCAUGGUGAGUGCAUCAACACUAUGAUUUUUCCUACUUGAUUUUCUCACCAUAAUUCAUCAUUUCCUAACCAAUUCACUUGAAAUAAAAUCAAAUCCACCAUCCACACUCGACAUGGAAGAUUCGGUCAAUGAUGGGUUAUGGAAGAACAUGAAUUUUUCUUGUUUGUUUUUCAUGCUACACAUCACUAACUAACUAAAAACACUAAAAUACAUUGAAAUCUAACCAAAUUGAAGUUCAAAACUCCUCCCCCCAUGUCCGGCCAGCAAGGGUAUCCUCAUGCAAACUUGAUUCUCAACCAAGGAAAAUGAAAAAGAAUGCAUAGGAAAGGUAAAUCACAAGCUAGCACUGAAAAAUCUUACCUUUUGUCACUUGAUUCUUUGAAAUUUUGUGAAUUUCUCUUGAAUUUCUUAGCUAGGAUUUUGUUCUUUUUCUUUUCUUCCCUUUUCUUCCUUUGG